AGCAGCGUUGUGUUCGGCUGGUUGAAAGAGGGUGCUCGGGUUGAGUUCGGCUGGUUCUUUUCGAUCACUCUCCUCCGUCUUCGAGCGCUCCGAGGCGCUCCGAGCCCUGUCGUCGGAGCAGUCGUCGAGAUUGAGAGCCUUUCCGGUCACGUGAUUACAACAUGCCGUCGCGGCGUCGUCGUCUGGUAUUCCCGUGUCGUCUGGUGCCUGUAUUAUUUCGCUUAAAAUGCUACGAAAAAUCCGCUUGAGCGGUGCGUUGAUGCCCUUACCUUUGCUGGCAAACGUGGAAUCAAGCAGCGAGAGCUCUGAGAGCGAUGACGACGACUUCAACCGUACUUGUGAGCAGAAAUUUGCCCAGCUCUUCGACGUGCCUAACAGAACACCGAAAGUCACAGGCUACGUGAAGAGCGUUGUACGGACGUACUCGUAGAAAGAGGUGGGUCGUUACAGCGAACUAUCGUGUUGUAAGUAAACUGAAUACGUUUUUUUCUCCAUCAGUUUCGCAAGAAUUUCCGGCUCCCCAGGAAAUCGUGCUACGCCUUAAUUGAGCGUUUCUCCAAAUCCAGCUUCUACCCCUCGGACCAACGGCACGGUGGCUCACCAGCCAAAACGGCCGAGGAGCACAUGCUUACCUUCCUUUGGUACGCGGCCAACAAGGCUUCCAUGAGGGAGGUGUCCGUACUUUUUGACACAGCUGAAUCAACGCACGUAGUGAUUCUAAAUAGGGUUCUCAACUUGAUGUGCAGCAUAGCACCAGAGGUGAUCUACUUUUCAAGCAACAACAAAGCUGUUGCAAAAUAAUUUGAAAAGGUUGCUGGAUUUCCCAACGUGCUUGGGUGUAUUGAUGGGACAUACACUCCAAUCAGAUGCCCCAACAACAAACUCAGAUCAACAUACACAAACAGACAUGACCAAGUUUCAAUCACCAUGCAAGGCAUAUGCGACAGCAAUGGGAGAUUUGAAGACAUUUUUACAGGCACCCCCAGCAAGAUCCACGAUGCCAGAGUCCUUAGGCUGUCAACAGUGAAUGAGGACCUACCAACAAUCUGCCAAACCAACCGGUACCACAUUCUUGGAGAUGCUGCCUACUCAAUAAGGGAACACCUUCUUACACCAUACAAAGAUUAUGGCGACAUGACAGAUGCGCAGAUUGUAUACAACCACCGUCACUCUUCAACGCGAGUCAUUAUCGAAAAUGUAUUUGGGCGUCUCAAACAGAGGUUCCGCCAACUGCGGUACAUUGAAUUCCAAACUGUGGACAAGAUAACGCAAUUCAUCAUUGCUUGCUGCACACUGCACAAUAUUUGCCUAGACGUUGGGGAUCUAAAUGUCGAUGACAUUCGAACAGAUGACGACCUGCAGGAAAAACAACAAGACAUCGCUCAGCAUCACAUUCUCCAAGAGGAAGAACUCAGGGAAGCAAGCCAGUGUGCCCCGACACAGAGAGAGUCAGCCCUGCUGCACCUUGGGGAACUGAAGCGGAGCAACCUGGCACAGCGUUUAUAAGUUUGCUCCUUCUUUUGUGAUGGCGUGAGAAGAAUGUGUAAGCACUUCUCCUCAUUUAAAACAAGGCAUUGCAGUAGCACGUUUUCUUUUUUAUUAACAAAAGCAGUUGUUACAAUUUUGUUGUACAAAGCAAAUGUAUGGCAGACUUCCUUCUGUAAUAAAAAAAAUACAACUCGCGUAAAGAAAUGUCCCACCGCUUUGGAGUUAAAAUAAAUAUAUGUUGGAAACAUUA
RNAcentral lists this long non-coding RNA (1738 nucleotides) under Dermacentor andersoni. RNAcentral describes it as "uncharacterized LOC126526669". Lineage: Eukaryota; Metazoa; Arthropoda; Arachnida; Ixodida; Ixodidae. The record is from RNAcentral.